CAGGAAUAAGGUGGGAGAUAAAUUCUGGGUUGCCAACCUUCUCACUGUGUGAUUUGGGAAAUACAAAUUAAUGAGAGAAUACUAUCUAAUGUUAAGUUCUUAUGUUUUACAGACAUUGUUCCAGAAGCUUCCAAAUAGCAACACAUUUCAAGACAAUUCUAGGAUGUUACUAUCAUUAGUCUUACAGAGGAAGAAGGAAGUAAAACUAACCUUGGAACAGUCAGCAGGACUUGGAGUGUGACCUCUGCCUUCAUGCCUGUUGAUCCUGAUGUUUGGCUCUGGGGUCGUGAGUGGUCCGCCGCUUGUCUACAAAUGAAUCAAGAUUUUAACUCACCAUCAUGGCUAAAGGUUGAUUCUUAGGCUUCAGGAAAGAGUGUCAAGAUGGAAGUACUCUCAAAUGAAAUUGUCCUCUAUACCAUUGUCUGCUAUAAUCUAGAGAGUCUCAAAGAAGAGUCAGUUAGAUCUGCUGACCUGUAGAACAUCUUGAUUAUGUUAAUGGAUGUGGAAGAAGUAAUCUAAAAGUGAGAGGCACUGCUUCCUGGGUUCUGGUCUCAAAUUGCAUAAGAAUAGAGAAAUCUAGAUGAGACACACACACACACACAGCACCUACAUGCCAGCUCACAACUGUCUGUAACUCCUGUUCCAGGGAUCUGGAACCCUCAUACAGACAUACA
This is a long non-coding RNA of Mastomys coucha (southern multimammate mouse), 674 nucleotides long. RefSeq lists it as uncharacterized. The transcript is spliced from 3 exons. The record is from RefSeq and is a predicted model, not a curated record. NCBI's taxonomy places the organism in Eukaryota, Metazoa, Chordata, Mammalia, Rodentia, Muridae.